CCUACGGGAGGCAGCAGUGAGGAAUAUUGGUCAAUGGGCGCGAGCCUGAACCAGCCAAGUAGCGUGAAGGAUGACUGCCCUACGGGUUGUAAACUUCUUUUAUAAAGGAAUAAAGUGAGGCACGUGUGCCUUUUUGUAUGUACCUUAUGAAUAAGGAUCGGCUAACUCCGUGCCAGCAGCCGCGGUAAUACGGAGGAUCCGAGCGUUAUCCGGAUUUAUUGGGUUUAAAGGGAGCGUAGAUGGGUUGGUAAGUCAGUUGUGAAAGUCUGCGGCUCAAACGUAAAAUUGCAAUUGAAACUGGCAGCCUUGAGUACAGUUGAGGUAGGCGGAAUGCGUGGUGUAGCGGUGAAAUGCAUAGAUAUCACGAAGAACGCCGAUUGCGAAGGCAGCUUACUAGACUGCCACUGACAUUGAUGCGCGAAAGUGUGGGUAUCAAACAGGAUUAGAUACCCUAGUAGUC
This 460-nucleotide ribosomal RNA is filed under the name uncultured bacterium. RNAcentral describes it as "partial 16S ribosomal RNA". It matches the Rfam family "Bacterial small subunit ribosomal RNA", at positions 338 to 795 of the family's 1533-position model. The record is from RNAcentral.